AUAGAUACCCAGGUAGUCCACGCCGUAAACGAUGAGUGCUAAGUGUUAGGGGGGUUUCCGCCCCUUAGUGCUGCAGCUAACGCAUUAAGCACUCCGCCUGGGGAGUACGGUCGCAAGACUGAAACUCAAAGGAAUUGACGGGGGCCCGCACAAGCGGUGGAGCAUGUGGUUUAAUUCGAAGCAACGCGAAGAACCUUACCAGGUCUUGACAUCCCGCUGACCGCUAUGGAGACAUAGCCUUCCCUUCGGGGACAGCGGUGACAGGUGGUGCAUGGUUGUCGUCAGCUCGUGUCGUGAGAUGUUGGGUUAAGUCCCGCAACGAGCGCAACCCUUGAGAUUAGUUGCCAUCAUUCAGUUGGGCACUCUAAUCUGACUGCCGGUGAUAAACCGGAGGAAGGUGGGGAUGACGUCAAAUCAUCAUGCCCCUUAUGAUCUGGGCUACACACGUGCUACAAUGGACGGUACGAAACGGUUGCCAACCCGCGAGGGGGAGCCAAUCCGAUAAAACCGUUCUCAGUUCGGAUUGUAGGCUGCUAACC
RNAcentral lists this ribosomal RNA (539 nucleotides) under uncultured bacterium. RNAcentral describes it as "bacterial SSU rRNA". It matches the Rfam family "Bacterial small subunit ribosomal RNA", at positions 778 to 1313 of the family's 1533-position model. The record is from RNAcentral.